GAUGAAGAACGUAGUGAAAUGCGAUAAGUAAUGUGAAUUGCAGAAUUCAGUGAAUCAUCGAAUCUUUGAACGCACAUUGCGCCCGCUAGUAUUCUGGCGGGCAUGCCUGUCCGAGCGUCAUUUCAACCCUCAAGCCCCCGGGCUUGGUGUUGGGGAUCGGCGAGCCUCCGCGCCCGCCGUCCCCUAAAUCUAGUGGCGGUCUCGCUGUAGCUUCCUCUGCGUAGUAGCACACCUCGCACUGGGAAACAGCGCGGCCACGCCGUUAAACCCCCAACUUCUGAACGUUUGACCUCGGAUCAGGUAGGAAUACCCGCUGAACUUAAGCAUAUCAAUAAGCGGGGA
RNAcentral lists this unclassified non-coding RNA (342 nucleotides) under soil metagenome. RNAcentral describes it as "partial contains 5.8S ribosomal RNA, internal transcribed spacer 2, and large subunit ribosomal RNA". The stretch from base 1 to 120 matches the Rfam family "5.8S ribosomal RNA", at positions 35 to 154 of the family's 154-position model. The record is from RNAcentral.